This is a long non-coding RNA of Hermetia illucens (black soldier fly), 492 nucleotides long. RefSeq lists it as uncharacterized. The record is from RefSeq and is a predicted model, not a curated record. NCBI's taxonomy places the organism in Eukaryota, Metazoa, Arthropoda, Insecta, Diptera, Stratiomyidae. The transcript has 2 exons.
AGUUUUGUUUUCUUUGUGCCUAUCACACGCUCGUUCCACUUUAACUCUUCCCUUCACGGCUGGCCAUUAAAAUAAUAUCGGGAUGGUUAUAUUGCUCGAUGCACACGAAAUUUUAUUACUCGAGACGUCUUAUUUCCUCCCCAACUUUCUUCAGAUUCACUCCACUCACAUUGUCGUUUGGAUUCGUGAUUGUGUCGGCGCACUUAAUACUUUACCGGAUCGACUACACGAACGAUAUUUUCUGAGAAAAAUUCACUUUAUUCGCGACUCUGCAACAUUCCAAGACGUCAUGUCGCCAUGUUUACUUCUAACUUUCGCAAAUGUCAAAAUUACACAACAAACUGUUAUAAUGCUGGUGUUGAAUGAAUUUUAAGAAGUGUUAUACGUAGGCACUUCAAAGGGAAGCGUUCUGAAUAGUCCAACAUAAUUUAUAAUAAUUUUCUAAUCCAAUUAGUACUUAUUCGUAUGCCAUUAAAAUAUGAAAAAAGAGAA